UUCACUGUGUGUUUGUUUCCGUGUCUGUGUUUUUCACCACACGGUAUUGUUUUGGGUUUCGUUCAUUCCACAUUUAUUGUUUUUGUAUUUCAGUCGUGUUCAUGUGUAGUAUUUCUUACAGUUUCUUUGGAUUGCUUAAACACUCAAAUUAAAAGUAGUACACUAUUAGCAAAACCUUACACUCAAGAAGUAAAACAUCAGCCCAUAUUUGCACAACUAUAAGCACAUUGUCAACCUCACACUUGUUGCAAAACUCUACACACAGUGAUUUUCAAAACACUAAACACACUUAUAACAUACAUUACACACAAAAAUCUAUCAUGAAGUCACGUCCUUGCAAUACCAGAGCAAUGACUGUCAAAUUACCACACCGUCCAACCAAUUUGUUCAACACAGGCAUCAGGUGUGCAAACACUUGUUUGCUUAAUUGUAGACACACCAAUCAGGUGUAUAAGCACUAUAAAAAGCAGCAGGUGAGUUCAUCGGUCUUCAAGCACAAUGGAAAGAGUCAGAGAAAGAAUAAGACUACUACGAGGAGGACAAGAAGGUGCUCAAAGAGGACGAAUCUGACAAAUGAGAUCCGCGCAACACUGGUUGACCACGUUGUCAACCACGGCCUGACGCUGAGGGAGGCUGGACUGCGAGUACAACCAAAUCUAAGCCGAUAUACAGUGGCAAGUGUGAUGAGAACAUUUCGACUGGAAAAUAGAAUUGUGGGUCAUGGACGACAAGGGGGAAGGCCUCCUAUGUUCACAGAACAGCAAGAGGGGAGAUAGUAAACAUGGUUUUGGCCAACAAUGCUAUAACACUCAAGCAGCUCCAAGCUAACAUUGUCAAUAACCACGCCAUUUUCAACGAUAUCCAUCAGGUCUCAACAUCAACACUGCCAGGCAUCCUAAAAAAAACAUAUUCAAAUGAAGCAAAUUUAUCGAGUGCGGCAUGAUUAUGCCGAGAGAGUUUUACGAAUGGAUGGAGAGGAGAUCCAGCAUGAGUUCAUUUACGUAGAUGAGGCUGGGUUCAACCUGACGAGAACACGAAGGAGGGGAAGAAACAUCAUUGGCCACAGGGCUAUAGUCAAUGUCCCAGGGCAACGUGGGGGUAAUAUAACACUCUGUGCAGCCAUUACACAGAAUGGUGUCCUCCACCCCAGGCCCAUAUGGGCCCUUACAACACAGCACUCAUACUUACAUUCUUGGACCAAUUGCACAACAUAACAGCAGCAAAUCAAAUCGAUCAUAUGCAAUACAUUGUUGUCUGGGACAGCGUGUCUUUCCACCGCUCUGCUCUGGUUCAGAACUGGUUUCAGCAACAUCCACAUUUCACCAUCCUAUAUCUUCCACCAUACUCUCCAUUCCUCAACCCUAUAGAAGAGUUUUUCUCGGCAUGGCGGUGGAAGGCUGAGGUACCCCUCAUCCAAUCCAUGGAGGAGGCCUGUGACCAGAUGGAGGUAGCAGCAAUGCAAGGAUGGAUUCAUCAUUCAAGACGUUUCUUCCCAAGGUGUCUUGCUAAUAACAACAUUGCCUGCGAUGUUGAUAAUUCUCUGGCCAGAUCCAGCUAGGCGAAGAGACAAUGUCUAGUUAUUUUUUUUAUUUUUUUUAACUUACAAUACGUAAAGUGACGUUUGGUUACAGUAUUAUGAAUCUCCAUGUCAACAGUUUGGGCGUGUUGAGAAACAAAUGAGUUUCUUCAGUCUGCAACAUUGGUCUUGUGUAGUGUUUGGUGAAUUUACAUUAUAUUUGUACUUUGUUGAUAGUAGCCUACUCUAAUCAUAGGGAAGUAGUGGAAGUGCUAAAAGUGUUUUGGGUUUAUCACAGCAGAGUGUAACUUGUGCAAACAGAGUAUAGUAAUGUGAAACGUGUGUUUCAUAUGGUAACAAAGUGUGGUUUUUAUAAAGAAGUGUAUAGUUUUUACAAGAGUGUUUAAUUUUGCAAAGGAUCUGUAGUGUUUUGCUAAUUGGGUGUGUGGUUGUGCUAAUUGGGUGUGUGGUUGUGCUAAUUGGGUGUAGUGUUUUGAAAACACGGCCCUGUUUUGAAAAUCGUGCUUAAGCAAUCAAAAAAAACUGUAUUAAAAUAACCAUGGACACUUACCACGCCACAUAUUGGUCCUCCGAUCCUUCUCGCCUCUCCUCUUCAGAGGAAGAGGAGGAAAUCCCUUACAGUUCUGGUCCAAAACUGGUUUUCCACCCAUACACAAUUUGUAGUUUUAUACCUACCCCCAUAUUCACCUUUUCUAAAUCCCGUAGAGGAAUUCUUCUCAGCCUGGCGCUGGAAAGUGUAUGAUCGCCAACCCUAUGCCCGCAUGCCGCUUCUCCAGGCAAUGGAGGACGCAUGUGGGGACAUAGAGGUGGCCUCUGUCCAAGGUUGGAUAUGCCACACUAGGAGAUACUUCCCUUGAUGUUUGGCAAGAGAGAACUUAUCUUGUGAUGUGGACGAAGUAUUGUGGCCAGACCCAGGCCGGAGAAGAGAUGAAGCUUAGCACUGGUGACUGCCCCCCUACCAA
This is a long non-coding RNA of Oncorhynchus gorbuscha (pink salmon), 2499 nucleotides long. RefSeq lists it as uncharacterized. NCBI's taxonomy places the organism in Eukaryota, Metazoa, Chordata, Actinopteri, Salmoniformes, Salmonidae. The record is from RefSeq and is a predicted model, not a curated record. The transcript is spliced from 3 exons.